Anolis carolinensis (green anole) is the source of this 288-nucleotide long non-coding RNA. RefSeq lists it as uncharacterized. Lineage: Eukaryota; Metazoa; Chordata; Lepidosauria; Squamata; Anolidae. The transcript has 2 exons. The record is from RefSeq and is a predicted model, not a curated record.
ACAGGCCUGACUUCGAGCCAGAGGUUUCUUGCGAACUGAGUGAGGAUGUACAAGGCCAAAUUCCUGAGAGAGGCCCUCAGCAGGUUUUCUCUGAGAAUCAAUCUUCUGAGGAUGAUUUGUCAGGUGCAGAAUUUAAUGAGCUGGAAGGGUCAUAUGCCAACUGUGGCAGCCAGUCCAAAGCCUUCAAGUGGGCAAGACCAAAAGUGGGAGGAGAGCAUGCUACGUUGAUUGUUUGCACAAAAACUGGAUCUUGAAAAGUUACUUGUUAGAAUAACACAUUAAAUGAUA